Molecule: long non-coding RNA, 1422 nt
Organism: Quercus lobata
Lineage: Eukaryota; Viridiplantae; Streptophyta; Magnoliopsida; Fagales; Fagaceae
Exons: 2
Source: RefSeq, a predicted model, not a curated record
UUUUCUCACAAACACACACUCCUCUCUUCACUCCCUCACACUCCCACGGUACCCACUCCACACCACCACAUCCACCAUCAUUUUUCCUGCAAGACCAUUAGAAAACUCUCGAGUAACAUCUAAGGCACCUUCAUCUCUUUUGAUUUAAGGUUUUAGCUAAUUUCAUUUGGAGGUUGGAAAAUUAGGCUUUUGUGGGUUGCGAGGUAAGUACCUUUUUAAUGGGAUAUUUUUUGGAAAAUAACCAUGUUGCAUAAACAUUGUUUUUGGGUCAAACACAUUUUGGAAAAUUAAUGGUGGAACUAUGUUUUUUUGAAAAGUGUUGUGUUGUGACCCUACUAUAUAUGAUUAUAUAUGAAAGUGCAUAUUCUUAUUGCAUAUGGGAAAUUGCAUGAUUUGUUAGCAUGAAAAAGACUAGCAUCUUUGAUUAAAUUCUUGAGAAUGCGUUUUAUGGAUUUAUUGCAUUAUUUGCAAAAAUAUAAAGAUGCUCUAUCUUGACCUAUGUUAUUUGGAAAGUUAAUACAAAAUCUUUUUGACAAGAAAUGAGUUGAAGGCUUUGAGAACCUUGUGAAUAUCUUGGGCAUUCAAAAAUUUUAUGAAACUACUUGGAAGUGAAUUAUGGAUUUUGAAUUAAAGGUAAUUUUUGAGCUCCUUAUGUUCUACCCAUGUGCCGUGACAUGUGAUUACCCUAUGAUUACCUAACUAGAUACUAUAGUUUGUGUGGCAUUGGUAUCUUAGCACCCAUCUUUGUGAUGGUUAUUGAGUUCUGUCUUUGUGACGGCGAUGAGUUCCAUCUUUGUGACGGCAGAUUAGUUUCGUCUUUGUGACGGCAUUGUCAUGCGGCCUUGGGUUUGGAAUUGUAUUGUUAUUGCUCACAAAUUAUAGUAUGUAGUUUCAUGAGAGCAUUUUGAGAAGCUUUGUGCCAUGUCAUUUUAUUCAUUCUUGUUAUAUUAUUUUUGGAAAUGGUUUUGUAGAAAUUAUUUGGAAAUUCCUAAAUUAAAACAUGAUUUCUGAAUUGUUAUUAUCAUGAAACUAGCAUUUCCCUCACCCCUAUUAAUUAUGCUACUUACUGGGCACUGUCUCAUUCCAUUAAUUUACAAACUUUUUCAAAGUAGGCAACUAUCAUUUUGAGACAGCUUUUUGAGGGCUAGCAGUAGUUAGACUAACUGCUGAUGGAGGCUGACUUUUGUAAUGGAGACAUUAGAUGAUGUACAUCUUAGAAUAGGCUUUACUCAUUCUUCUGUAUAUUAUAGUGGCUGUGACGUUAUUCCCACUGAUAUAUGGGAUAAGCUGAUGAUAUGUAAUUAUGCAUUUAGACCUCUGUUCUUUUGUGGCCAAUGGUCCUUGUAAUUAUUGCUUAGAGCUUUGACUUACAUUGUGUGUAUAUUCAAUGGAAUUAUUAUGAUAAUCCUUAAUAUUGGUACU